Fundulus heteroclitus (mummichog) is the source of this 360-nucleotide long non-coding RNA. RefSeq lists it as uncharacterized. The transcript has 3 exons. Lineage: Eukaryota; Metazoa; Chordata; Actinopteri; Cyprinodontiformes; Fundulidae. The record is from RefSeq and is a predicted model, not a curated record.
CAGCACUAAAACAUUUUUAGGCCAAAUAUUGCAGAAUGAAAGAAGUUUAGACAAAAAUGUCAAGAUUUGCAAGUUUAAUCGCAACGGCUCCAUCCCUCUGGGGGGCAGGACGGGAGGGGCAGCUGCAGCGUGCGGUGUGAGACGAGGGGAGGAUAUCACCUCGGAACAGGACAACCACACCCAAGCUCACGCAGGAGCUGAACAAAACUCGGAUGCACAGCCGAGUUUAGAGCCAGCACAUCAAAGAAUCAGGGAGCAAAGCAGUGAAAGUCUCACCAGGUCAAAGAAGCUGCGGACCACCUGCCUCUGCUUCAGGUUGGUCUCCCCGUCCAGCGUGGCCGUCUCGAUGUGGCACAGACG